RNAcentral lists this small nuclear RNA (180 nucleotides) under Cavia porcellus (domestic guinea pig). Its description in RNAcentral is "7SK RNA". It matches the Rfam family "7SK RNA", at positions 1 to 187 of the family's 331-position model. Rfam says of the family: 7SK was discovered as an abundant small nuclear RNA in the mid-70s but a possible function has only recently been suggested. Two independent studies have found that 7SK RNA binds the CDK9/cyclin T complex (known as elongation factor P-TEFb). P-TEFb activates transcription by phosphorylating the C-terminal domain of RNA polymerase II. The record is from Rfam by way of RNAcentral. Lineage: Eukaryota; Metazoa; Chordata; Mammalia; Rodentia; Caviidae.
AGAUGUGAGGCGAUCAGGCUGCUAGGCCUGUCACCCCAUCAAUCACCAAGGUUGACUCAUGCAUCUGGCUGGCCAGGCGGUAUCUUUUCCUCCCUCACUUCUUCCUCUGUAUCCUGCCCAAAUCUGUGCUCUCAAUGAAAGACAACUUCCCCCCAUAGAAGAAGACCAUUCUUUGGUCCC